UAUUGGUCAAUGGACGAGAGUCUGAACCAGCCAAGUAGCGUGAAGGAUGACUGCUCUAUGGGUUGUAAACUUCUUUUAUAUGGGAAUAAAAUGUUCCACGUGUGGGAUUUUGUAUGUCCCAUAUUAAUAAGGAACGGCUAACCCCGUGCCAGCAGCCGCGGUAAUACGGAGGAUCCGAGCGUUAUCCGGAUUUAUUGGGUUUAAAGGGAGCGUAGGUGGAUUGUUAAGUCAGUUGUGAAAGUUUGCGGCUCAACCGUAAAAUUGCAGUUGAAACUGGCAGUCUUGAGUACAGUAGAGGUGGGCGGAAUUCGUGGUGUAGCGGUGAAAUGCUUAGAUACCACGAAGAACUCCGAUUGCGAAGGCAGCUCACUGGACUGCAACUGGCACUGAGGCUCGAAAGUGUGGGUAUCAAACAGG
RNAcentral lists this ribosomal RNA (417 nucleotides) under uncultured bacterium. RNAcentral's name for it is "bacterial SSU rRNA". It matches the Rfam family "Bacterial small subunit ribosomal RNA", at positions 362 to 776 of the family's 1533-position model. The record is from RNAcentral.